Molecule: long non-coding RNA, 973 nt
Organism: Homo sapiens (human)
Lineage: Eukaryota; Metazoa; Chordata; Mammalia; Primates; Hominidae
Gene: APPBP2-DT
Product: APPBP2 divergent transcript
Source: Ensembl
GCCGGAGGGGAGGAAUGCGGCAGGCGGAAAACUUAGGAAGAGCUGGAUGCCUCCCACGGAGAGCGUCCCUUCCAAGCGGCCCCGGAGUGGAGUGGAGUGGAGUGGAUAGGGGUAGACUUUUCACACGGGGACAAAUUAUUACAGGAUAUCUGCGCCCCCUGUUCCGAGUCACUCGGGGCCAUCGGUUACUUCAGCAGGUUCUCUGCAUCACGGACCCUUUUGAGGCUCAGGUAAAAGUUUGGAUCCUCUCCCCACAAACGAGCAAAAUUAUCUGUACAUUGAAAAUUAUGCAUUGAGAAAAUUCACAUUACUCUAGAAACCCUUAGACUGCAGUUCCUAACCCAAGUUAAGAACCCGCGGUCCAGGAACUAGGGGUAACGAUAGAAGAGAGACUUGUUUUUCUUUGUAUAACCAUUUGCACCGUUGUAACUUUUUGACCAUGUUUCUUUAUCCAAAUGAAAUUUCCGAAAAAAGAAAACUCCUGCCCCAGAACUUCGUAGGAAAACUAGCUUGAUUAUGGAAUUACAAAUAAUAGUAAGAGAAAAAAGGCUAAGUGGUGGCCGUGAUAGGACUUAAUGGUAUUUCAAUUCCCAGAGUUACAGUGGCGGCUUCAAGGGAUUGUUGAAUAAUUGGGAGUACUUGUUUCAGCUUCUUUCCUUCCUCAGCCUGAACAUCUGCUGUUUAUGUAACUUAAUUUCCUAAGUCUGCGAUUUCAAGAAUUUGAUGCAACAUCUUUCUGUUCUAGGAAUUUACCAUGGAAAUUAUUGGCCAUAAUUGUUGGUGACACUAUCAAACUCAUAGUCACUCUAUAACGAUGUAAGUCCAGAAAACAGCCAUAAUAAUAAUGUCCUGAUUGAUAUUUAGAGCUAAAAGAAGUGGAAAGAGUUAUUUCAAUUUACCCUUCACCUGGUACUUCAGUGUUAAGUGGUUAAAUAAUUCCACAAAAAAUAAACACUCUUAAUCUUCUUCAGUC